GGGCCCGUAGGGUAGCUUGGUCAAUCCUUCGGCGUUCGGGACGCCGGUACUCCAGUUCAAAUCUGGGCGGGCCCACCA
RNAcentral lists this transfer RNA (78 nucleotides) under Marine Group III euryarchaeote CG-Bathy2. RNAcentral's name for it is "tRNA-Pro". Lineage: Archaea; Methanobacteriati; Thermoplasmatota; Thermoplasmata; Candidatus Thermoprofundales. RNAcentral also lists the same sequence under 1 other name. The record is from RNAcentral.